RNAcentral lists this long non-coding RNA (537 nucleotides) under Cricetulus griseus (Chinese hamster). RNAcentral describes it as "lncRNA (ENSCGRG00015032910.1)". Lineage: Eukaryota; Metazoa; Chordata; Mammalia; Rodentia; Cricetidae. The record is from RNAcentral.
ACUGAAGUUCCCAGAGAAAAAGCCUCACACAGUGAAGACUGCUCUGCUGACUGAUUGGAACUCCAUGACUGUAGAGAGUUGGAACGUUACAGAUCCAGACAUCUUUGGCCAUCUUUAGUCCCAUCAGUGGCCAUUUAACACCCACCUUCUGUGUCUGACCUGGUGUCCUUUCCACUCUCAGGCCCAGAACCAGGGCUAUGAGUUAGCCCACCCCAACAUUCACCCCAUCUAUGAUCUGAAGGAGCACGUGAAGGGGCCUGUUCUGCAGAUCCAAAGCUGCAGGGUCUCCAGGACACAGAGCAACAACAGGAUAACCAUGAGGAGCCCCAGUGAGGGCCCAGUAGCAACAGCAUGGCAGAAACCAGAGGCCUCAAAUCAGACCAAUGACUCUUUGCAAAGAACUCUUGCAAGAAAAGAAAUGUGGACAAAAGGGUCUACUGUGUGACUCACUGUGGCAUACUACAGCUUCCAUGAUGAGAUUUUUCUUUCUUUCUUUUUCUUUUUUCUCUCAAACUUUAUUUUAUUUGACUUUGGUGG